AUACGGAGGGUGCGAGCGUUGUUCGGAAUUAUUGGGCGUAAAGAGCAUGUAGGCGGUCUGUUAAGUCUGGGGUGAAAGCCCGGGGCUCAACCCCGGAAGUGCAUUGGAUACUGGCAGACUUGAGUAUGGGAGAGGAAAGCGGAAUUCCGAGUGUAGGAGUGAAAUCCGUAGAUAUUCGGAGGAACACCAGUGGCGAAGGCGGCUUUCUGGACCAAUACUGACGCUGAGAUGCGAAAGCGUGGGGAGCAAACAGGAUUAGAUACCCCGGUAGUCC
Molecule: ribosomal RNA, 274 nt
Filed under: uncultured bacterium
Lineage: Bacteria
Description: partial 16S ribosomal RNA
Rfam family: Bacterial small subunit ribosomal RNA
Source: RNAcentral